Arachis ipaensis is the source of this 672-nucleotide non-coding RNA. NCBI's taxonomy places the organism in Eukaryota, Viridiplantae, Streptophyta, Magnoliopsida, Fabales, Fabaceae. The record is from RefSeq and is a predicted model, not a curated record.
UUAAGUUUAGUUAUAUGUCUUCUCAUCGUGUUACUCCAUCUACAUUAUUAUUGUAUGUGCCCAAUGAAAAUAUAUAUCAAUUAAUUUUACAAUAAUUUUUUUAUGUGAUGAAAUGAAAUUUUGCUUAUAUAUACAUCCCAAAUCUCUAGUUGUUAAAUACACAAAACGCAUCGAGAUUAGUAGAUAGAUUAGCAUUGUUAUAUUGAUGAGAACAGGCCACCAAUUGUUUGAUUAUAAAUAAUGGCAAAAUUAAGCAUGGCAAAGUUUUUUUCACUUUUUCUUUUGGUUUCAGUGAUGAGAAGUGAAGUGGGUGCGGAUCAAAGACUCUUUGAAUGUCGGCGUGAGUUUUGGAACAUGGAUAACUGCGUACGUGAAUUUUGCGAGGAGGUUUGUGUGAAGAACAAAGGGGAUUCUGAAAAUGCAGCAGAUGUAUGGUCAGAGUGCCAGGGAUCUCGCAGAUGUUUUUGCCAAUAUUGGUGCUUUGUAACCGGGGAGAAAAUAUAGUAAUAAUGACCAUAAUAAUAAGGUAACAACUUGUCUGCUGUUAUUUUUGUACAAGUUAUAGGUGAAAAUUGUUGAUAAUUUAAUUAAGAGGAAUGUUAGGGAGCAGUAAUUUUGGUGUUUUGUAAUUAUCAAUUGGUCAUUAAUAGUGUUUUUAAUGGUGUGAAAUUA